RNAcentral lists this ribosomal RNA (468 nucleotides) under uncultured bacterium. RNAcentral's name for it is "partial 16S ribosomal RNA". It matches the Rfam family "Bacterial small subunit ribosomal RNA", at positions 28 to 507 of the family's 1533-position model. The record is from RNAcentral.
GACGAACGCUGGCGGCGUGCUUAACACAUGCAAGUCGAACGGAAAGGCCCUGCUUUUGUGGGGUGCUCGAGUGGCGAACGGGUGAGUAACACGUGAGUAACCUGCCCUUGACUUUGGGAUAACUUCAGGAAACUGGGGCUAAUACCGGAUAGGAGCUCCUGCUGCAUGGUGGGGGUUGGAAAGUUUCGGCGGUUGGGGAUGGACUCGCGGCUUAUCAGCUUGUUGGUGGGGUAGUGGCUUACCAAGGCUUUGACGGGUAGCCGGCCUGAGAGGGUGACCGGCCACAUUGGAACUGGGAUACCGCCCAGACUCCUACGGGAAGCAGCAGUGGGAAAUAUUGCACAAUGGUCGGAAGCCUGAUGCAGCAACGCCGCGUGCGGGAUGACGGCCUUCGUGUUGUAAACCGCUUUCGCCUGUGACGAGGCGUGAGUGACGGUAAUGGGUAAAGAAGCACCGGCUAACUACGUG